AUAUUAGCUUCUUUGUUAAUGGCAUGAUUAGAAUCUCUAUUAAUGUAUUAUACCUUAUAUUAAGCUUUGUGCUGAUCUUUGAAGCGGGAACAUCUGAUGGGUUUCCUUUUGUGCCAAAGGUGGUUUGAAGAAAAUGCUCCACUGGUGUAGCAAAGAUGAAUAGCAAAACUGCUGUAACAAGGAUACUACUUUGGUUGCGGUACUUCUCAAGGAUUAGCAAAGUCAUUUGCAUUGGUUAAUACCUUGUAAGAGCCCAACAGUCUAUCACGAGCCAGGAUCUGCAACGGAUGGCGAUGUUCUAUACUAAAAUUUCCAGUAUCUCUAAUGACCCUGCGCAUCAAAUAGGAAAUUCUAGACGUGCAUGAUGCAUGCACAUUAUUAAAGUCACUUGAGCCUUACUCAUUCUCAAAAGGCACAUCAAGGGAAGAGGUUUGCUCAAGGCUUAUAAAGCCCACAACCCAGGCAUACCUUGGCAAUGUGAGACUCUUAACACGCCCCCUCACGUGUGGCAUCUUUUGGCCAAACACGUGUUUAAUAUUGGGAGGGAAGGCCCAA
Alnus glutinosa is the source of this 555-nucleotide long non-coding RNA. RefSeq lists it as uncharacterized. The record is from RefSeq and is a predicted model, not a curated record. The transcript is spliced from 3 exons. Lineage: Eukaryota; Viridiplantae; Streptophyta; Magnoliopsida; Fagales; Betulaceae.